RNAcentral lists this small RNA (291 nucleotides) under Pelobates cultripes (western spadefoot toad). Lineage: Eukaryota; Metazoa; Chordata; Amphibia; Anura; Pelobatidae. The record is from RNAcentral.
GACUAGUGACAGAGUGAGGGAAGGGGUGACUAGUGGCAGGGUGAGGGAAGGAAGGGGUGACUAGUUACAAAGUGAGGGAGGUGGUGACUGUCACUAGUCACCACCUCCCUCUGUCACUAGUCACACCCUCCGUUCCUUACUCUGUCACUAGUCACCCCCUAACUCACUCUCACUAGUCAUCCCCCUCGCUCACUCUGUCACCAGUCAUCUGCUUACUCUGUCACCAGUCACCCCUUCCUUCCCUCACUCUGCCACUAGCCACCCCUUCCCUCACUCUGUCACCAUUCAUUC